GUUUAGUAACGGCGAGUGAAGCGGCAAAAGCUCAAAUUUGAAAUCUAGUACGUUCGGUGCUCGAGUUGUAAUUUGUAGAGGGAUACUUUGGGGCCGUUCCUCGUCUAUGUUCCUUGGAACAGGACGUCAUAGAGGGUGAGAAUCCCGUGUGGCGAGGAGUGCGGUUCUAUGUAAAGUGCCUUCGAAGAGUCGAGUUGUUUGGGAAUGCAGCUCUAAGUGGGUGGUAAAUUCCAUCUAAAGCUAAAUAUUGGCGAGAGACCGAUAGCGAACAAGUACAGUGAUGGAAAGAUGAAAAGAACUUUGAAAAGAGAGUGAAAAAGUACGUGAAAUUGUUGAAAGGGAAGGGCAUUUGAUCAGACAUGGUGUUUUGCGCCCUCCGCUCCUUGUGGGUGGGGGACUCUCGCAGCUCACUGGGCCAACAUCAGUUUUGGUGGUCGGACAAAUCCGUAGGAAUGUAGCUUACCUCGGUAAGUGUUAUAGCCUGCGGGAAUACGGCCAGCCGGGACUGAGGACUGCGACUUUUGUCAAGGAUGUUGGCAUAAUGGUUAUAUGCCGCCCGUCUUGAAACACGGACCAAGGAGUCUAACGUCUAUGCGAGUGUUUGGGUGUAAAACCCGUACGCGUAAUGAAAGUGAACGUAGGUUGGGGCCCUCUCGGGGGUGCACAAUCGACCGAUCCUGAUGUUUUCAGAUGGAUUUGAGUAAGAGCAUAGCUGUUGGGACCCGAAAGAUGGUGAACUAUGCCUGAAUAGGGUGAAGCCAGAGGAAACUCUGGUGGAGGCUCGUAGCGGUUUCUGACGUGCAAAUCGAUUCGUCGA
Molecule: ribosomal RNA, 817 nt
Filed under: Monosporozyma servazzii
Lineage: Eukaryota; Fungi; Ascomycota; Saccharomycetes; Saccharomycetales; Saccharomycetaceae
Description: Kazachstania servazzii partial large subunit ribosomal RNA
Rfam family: Eukaryotic large subunit ribosomal RNA
Source: RNAcentral